GACGAACGCUGGCGGCGUGCUUAACACAUGCAAGUCGAACGGAAAGGCCCUGCUUUUGUGGGGUGCUCGAGUGGCGAACGGGUGAGUAACACGUGAGUAACCUGCCCUUGACUUUGGGAUAACUUCAGGAAACUGGGGCUAAUACCGGAUAGGAGCUCCUGCUGCAUGGUGGGGGUUGGAAAGUUUCGGCGGUUGGGGAUGGACUCGCGGCUUAUCAGCUUGUUGGUGGGGUAGUGGCUUACCAAGGCUUUGACGGGUAGCCGGCCUGAGAGGGUGACCGGCCACAUUGGGACUGAGAUACGGCCCAGACUCCUACGGGAGGCAGCAGUGGGGAAUAUUGCACAAUGGGCGGAAGCCUGAUGCAGCAACGCCGCGUGCGGGAUGACGGCCUUCGGGUUGUAAACCGCUUUCGCCUGUGACGAAGCGUGAGUGACGGUAAUGGGUAAAGAAGCACCGGCUAACUACGUGCCAGCAGCCGCGGUGAUACGUAGGGUGCGAGCGUUGUCCGGAUUUAUUGGGCGUAAAGGGCUCGUAGGUGGUUGAUCGCGUCGGAAGUGUAAUCUUGGGGCUUAACCCUGAGCGUGCUUUCGAUACGGGUUGACUUGAGGAAGGUAGGGGAGAAUGGAAUUCCUGGUGGAGCGGUGGAAUGCGCAGAUAUCAGGAGGAACACCAGUGGCGAAGGCGGUUCUCUGGGCCUUUCCUGACGCUGAGGAGCGAAAGCGUGGGGAGCGAACAGGCUUAGAUACCCUGGUAGUCCACGCUGUAAACGGUGGGUACUAGGUGUGGGGUCCAUUCCACGGGUUCCGUGCCGUAGCUAACGCUUUAAGUACCCCGCCUGGGGAGUACGGCCGCAAGGCUAAAACUCAAAGGAAUUGACGGGGCCCCGCACAAGCGGCGGAGCAUGCGGAUUAAUUCGAUGCAACGCGUAGAACCUUACCUGGGUUUGACAUGGAUCGGGAGUGCUCAGAGAUGGGUGUGCCUCUUUUGGGGUCGGUUCACAGGUGGUGCAUGGCUGUCGUCAGCUCGUGUCGUGAGAUGUUGGGUUAAGUCCCGCAACGAGCGCAACCCUUGUUCACUGUUGCCAGCACGUUAUGGUGGGGACUCAGUGGAGACCGCCGGGGUCAACUCGGAGGAAGGUGGGGAUGACGUCAAGUCAUCAUGCCCCUUAUGUCCAGGGCUUCACGCAUGCUACAAUGGCUGGUACAGAGAGUGGCGAGCCUGUGAGGGUGAGCGAAUCUCGGAAAGCCGGUCUCAGUACGGAUUGGGGUCUGCAACUCGACCUCAUGAAGUCGGAGUCGCUAGUAAUCGCAGAUCAGCAACGCUGCGGUGAAUACGUUCCCGGGGCU
RNAcentral lists this ribosomal RNA (1346 nucleotides) under uncultured bacterium. RNAcentral describes it as "partial 16S ribosomal RNA". It matches the Rfam family "Bacterial small subunit ribosomal RNA", at positions 28 to 1381 of the family's 1533-position model. The record is from RNAcentral.